AUUGAACGCUGGCGGCAGGCCUAACACAUGCAAGUCGAACGAGUGGCGGACGGGUGAGUAGUGUCUGGGAAACUGCCUGCUGGAGGGGGAUAACUAGUGGAAACGGUAGCUAAUACCGCAUACCAUCGGAUGUGCCCAGAUGGGAUUAGCUAGUAGGUGGGGUAAAGGCUCACCUAGGCGAAGAUCCCUAGCUGGUCUGAGAGGAUGACCGGCCACACGGGAACGGAGACACGGUCCAGAGGCCUACGGGAGGGAGCAGUGGGGAAUAUGGGACAAUGGGCGCAAGCCUGAUGCAGCCAUGCCGCGUGUAUGAAGAAGGCCCUCGGGUUGUAAAGUACUUUCAGCGGGGAGGCGUUACCCGCAGAAGAAGCACCGGCUAACUCCGUGCCAGCAGCCGCGGUAAUAC
Molecule: ribosomal RNA, 406 nt
Filed under: uncultured bacterium
Lineage: Bacteria
Description: partial 16S ribosomal RNA
Rfam family: Bacterial small subunit ribosomal RNA
Source: RNAcentral